AGGCAACAGAAAUGAUAGUGGAGACAGCCAGCUGCCCUAAUUCUCAAGACUUCUGGAACUGGGCAGUGGGCCCAUCUAUCUGAAGUUCUCAUGGUUCUUGGCUAAAUUCUGAUUAAGACAAUACUAUCCCUAUUUAGUAUAAAACCCAUCAAAUGCAAAAAAUCUUCAUUUUUUUGCUGCCUGGUCAGAGAACAUAUACCCUAAAAGGGGAUUUCAACAGAUAUUCAACAACUGUUGCAUUAGAUACCCGUUAGUAGAUGGGCAGAGAUGUUUAAGUAUCUAUUUCCUUUUUUGCAUUGCUAUACUCCCAAUAUCUACAAGAGUACCAGAGCACCAGUACAGUUGAAAGACCUUAGAUUAGUAACGAACAGCUGUUAUUUAUUGGAGUCAUAUUAAUGCCAAGGACUUUUCAAAGACUAAUUAAGUCUGCCUUUCAGCUCUAGGCGAUGGUUGCUCGUGUCACAGAUGGCAAACGGAGGCACAGACCAAUUAAUUUACUAAAGACAAUCAAGCAAAUAAAGCACAAGCUGUUCCAUGACCUUGGUUUCAACAUGUUGCAAGAACAAGUUUUCAGAGGCACUUGGGAAUGAAAAUACACCACUAGCUAGGUAACCAUUAUCCAUUCCUCUUUCUGAGCAUAUAAAAGAGCAUUGCUUAUGUAAUCAAAGUGGAACUCUCCUUCAUCACAUGCAUUUCUCCACCGAACAGCCAAAUAAACACAGAGCUCAGCACCUGCUAAAUAGCAGGGUCUUUUCACCAGCAUCCUGCACCUGAGUCAGUAAUACUAAGAGCAUCACACUGCACAGAUGGAGGAACCUUCUAAGUAGUUCCAAUGGAGACAGAGUCCAAAGCAGAGAUCAGCUAAACUCCUUAACAUACUGGGAAGAUGAAAGAACAGCAGGACAGGACAGAAUGUGGAGAAUACAGUGCACCACUGAAAAAUACGAUGCAGUCUCUGAAGAAAACAAUGAGAUAUUAAUAAAGACUAAAGGGAGUAAAUUUUUAAAUCCAUUAUGUAUUCAGAUAUAAUAAUUAAAGAAUUUCUCAAAAACAUUCUGUGAUUCACAAGAGCUAAGAUGUGGAAAUAACAGAAGCGUCCAUUGGUGGGUGAACAGGUAAGGAAAAUGUGAUCUGAACACACAUACACACACACACACACACACAUACACACACAUGAAUAUUAUUCAGCCUUGAAAAAGGAAAAUUGUUUGCCACAAUACGGAUGGGUCUGUAGGACAUUAUGCUAAAUGGGACAAGACAGAUACAGAAAAAAAAAUAUUGUAUCGAUCUCAUUUGUAUGUG
RNAcentral lists this long non-coding RNA (1302 nucleotides) under Fukomys damarensis (Damara mole-rat). RNAcentral describes it as "lncRNA (ENSFDAG00000033187.1)". The record is from RNAcentral. Lineage: Eukaryota; Metazoa; Chordata; Mammalia; Rodentia; Bathyergidae.